GAGGAAGCCCCUGCUCCCUCCCUGUUUCAAGAAGUCUGGGGUUGUAAGAGGAUGAGCUUCUCUGUGUAACGAAAGGAGGAGACUGAGUGAUCCCUGAUUAAUCCGGAAGCUGCUCCCCCAGCAGGACCUGGCGCGACGCCAGGGAAGGUUGGACUGAAUUUCAGGGGCCUGGUCGGAAGGCUCUCAGGGAGGUUUCCAUGGUGUCUUGGGGGCUUUGACACCGAGAACUCUUGGCUUCCAGACAGUGUCUUGGAAACCCGGAAACAGAUGUGCCGCGGCAUAAUGCAAAUAAAGAGCCAGGCUGCUGCAGGAAGUGCUCCCGGGAUGGAGGGCCUGGCGCUCGCCAGGCUGAUCUUCUCAUUAUAGCAUGCAGAUGAAAUGUCAUCCGCUAUUGGCUGUGAUAUAGAUCCACAAGAGAGAUAUAUAGAUUUGCGUGGUGCCAGUAACACACAAAUUGGCUUUCUAAAGCCUCUAGUAUUUGAAAUACUCUUUCACAAAUAUAACCAACUC
This 510-nucleotide long non-coding RNA is filed under the name Ictidomys tridecemlineatus (thirteen-lined ground squirrel). RNAcentral's name for it is "lncRNA (ENSSTOG00000034526.1)". Lineage: Eukaryota; Metazoa; Chordata; Mammalia; Rodentia; Sciuridae. The record is from RNAcentral.